This 253-nucleotide ribosomal RNA is filed under the name uncultured bacterium. RNAcentral describes it as "partial 16S ribosomal RNA". It matches the Rfam family "Bacterial small subunit ribosomal RNA", at positions 524 to 776 of the family's 1533-position model. The record is from RNAcentral.
UACGGGGGGAGCAAGCGUUGUUCGGAUUUACUGGGCGUAAAGGGUGCGUAGGCGGUCUUCUAAGUUUGAUGUGAAAUCCCGGGGCUCAACCCUGGAAUUGCAUUGAAUACUGGAGGACUCGAGUCCCGGAGAGGAAACUGGAAUUUACGGUGUAGCAGUGAAAUGCGCAGAGAUCGUAAGGAAGGCCAGUGGCGAAGGCGAGUUUCUGGACGGGUACUGACGCUGAGGCACGAAGGCCAGGGGAGCAAACGGG